GACGAACGCUGGCGGCGUGCCUAAUACAUGCAAGUUGAGCGCUGAAGGUUGGUACUUGUACCAACUGGAUGAGCAGCGAACGGGUGAGUAACGCGUGGGGAAUCUGCCUUUGAGCGGGGGACAACAUUUGGAGACGAAUGCUAAUACCGCAUAAAAACUUUAAACACAAGUUUUAAGUUUGAAAGAUGCAAUUGCAUCACUCAAAGAUGAUCCCGCGUUGUAUUAGCUAGUUGGUGAGGUAAAGGCUCACCAAGGCGAUGAUACAUAGCCGACCUGAGAGGGUGAUCGGCCACAUUGGGACUGAGACACGGCCCAAACUCCUACGGGAGGCAGCAGUAGGGAAUCUUCGGCAAUGGACGAAAGUCUGACCGAGCAACGCCGCGUGAGUGAAGAAGGGUUUCGGAUCGUAAAACUCUGUUGGUAGAGAAGAACGUUGGUGAGAGUGGAAAGCUCAUCAAGUGACGGUAACUACCCAGAAAGGGACGGCUAACUACGUG
RNAcentral lists this ribosomal RNA (497 nucleotides) under uncultured bacterium. RNAcentral's name for it is "partial 16S ribosomal RNA". It matches the Rfam family "Bacterial small subunit ribosomal RNA", at positions 28 to 507 of the family's 1533-position model. The record is from RNAcentral.